GUGACCUUAGUAGUAAUGGUUAGCUAUCCUGGAUGUGACCCAGGGAGUACGGGUUCAAAUCCCGUAGGUCACC
RNAcentral lists this transfer RNA (73 nucleotides) under Stenotrophomonas phage IME13. It matches the Rfam family "tRNA". From Rfam's summary of the family: Transfer RNA (tRNA) molecules are approximately 80 nucleotides in length. Their secondary structure includes four short double-helical elements and three loops (D, anti-codon, and T loops). Lineage: Duplodnaviria; Heunggongvirae; Uroviricota; Caudoviricetes; Pantevenvirales; Straboviridae. The record is from Rfam by way of RNAcentral.